ACACAUACACUCGCUCACUGACACACAUACACUCGCUCACUGACACACAUACAGUGAGCGAGUGUAUGUGUGUCAGUGAGUGAGUGUGUGU
Pelobates cultripes (western spadefoot toad) is the source of this 91-nucleotide non-coding RNA. NCBI's taxonomy places the organism in Eukaryota, Metazoa, Chordata, Amphibia, Anura, Pelobatidae. The record is from the annotation of a GenBank genome assembly.